GGAGAGUUUGAUCCUGGCUCAGGACGAACGCUGGCGGCGUGCCUAAUACAUGCAAGUCGAGCGGACAGAUGGGAGCUUGCUCCCUGAUGUUAGCGGCGGACGGGUGAGUAACACGUGGGUAACCUGCCUGUAAGACUGGGAUAACUCCGGGAAACCGGGGCUAAUACCGGAUGCUUGUUUGAACCGCAUGGUUCAAACAUAAAAGGUGGCUUC
Molecule: ribosomal RNA, 213 nt
Filed under: Bacillus sp. RHFS10
Lineage: Bacteria; Bacillati; Bacillota; Bacilli; Caryophanales; Bacillaceae
Description: partial 16S ribosomal RNA
Rfam family: Bacterial small subunit ribosomal RNA
Source: RNAcentral